UUCCGGUUGAUCCUGCCGGAUCCGACUGCUAUCCGGGUAAGACUAAGCCAUGCAAGUCGAAUGGAACAGCUUGUUCCAUGGCGAACUGCUCAGUAACAAGUAAUCAACUUACCCUUCAGUGGAGAAUAACCUCGGGAAACUGAGGCUAAUACUUCAUAGUUGGAAAUUCCUGGAAUGGUUUUCCAUCGAAAGAUAUUUCUAAAUGCGGAAAAUUCGCUGAAGGAUAGGAUCGCUUUCGAUUACGGUUGUUGGUGAGGUAAUGGCUCACCAAGCCUAUGAUCGAUAAGGGCCGUGAGAGCGGUAGCCCUGAGAUGGAUACUGAGACAAUGAUCCAGGCCUUACGAGGCGCAGCAGGCGCGAAACCUUUACAAUGCACGAAAGUGUGAUAAGGUUACCCGGAGUGCUAAAAUUAAAUUUUAGCUGUUAUAGGUGUGUAAAUAACCCUAUGAGAAAGGAGAGGGCAAGGCUGGUGCCAGCCGCCGCGGUAAAACCAGCUCUUCAAGUGGUCGGGAAUAUUAUUGGGCUUAAAGUGUCCGUAGCCGGUUUGGUAAGUUCCUGGUUAAAUCUGGCAGCUUAACUGUCAGUCAGCUAGGAAUACUACUUUACUAGAGGGUGGGAAAGGUUUGAGGUACUCCAGGGGUAGCGGUGAAAUGCGAUAAUCCUUGGGGGACCACCAGUGGCGAAGGCGUCAGACUGGAACACGCCUGACGGUGAGGGACGAAAGCCAGGGGAGCGAACGGGAUUAGAUACCCCGGUAGUCCUGGCUGUAAACGAUGCGUGCUAGGUGUUGGUAGGGCUUUGAGCUGUAUCAGUGCCGUAGGGAAACUGUUAAGCGCGCCGCCUGGGAAGUACGCUCGCAAGGGUGAAACUUAAA
Molecule: ribosomal RNA, 874 nt
Filed under: uncultured archaeon
Lineage: Archaea
Description: bacterial SSU rRNA
Rfam family: Archaeal small subunit ribosomal RNA
Source: RNAcentral